Molecule: ribosomal RNA, 497 nt
Filed under: uncultured bacterium
Lineage: Bacteria
Description: partial 16S ribosomal RNA
Rfam family: Bacterial small subunit ribosomal RNA
Source: RNAcentral
GAUGAACGCUGGCGGCGUGCCUAAUACAUGCAAGUCGAGCGAACAGACGAGGAGCUUGCUCCUCUGACGUUAGCGGCGGACGGGUGAGUAACACGUGGAUAACCUACCUAUAAGACUGGGAUAACUUCGGGAAACCGGAGCUAAUACCGGAUAAUAUAUUGAACCGCAUGGUUCAAUAGUGAAAGACGGUUUUGCUGUAACUUAUAGAGGUCUCCGCGCGGCAUUAGCUAGUUGGUAAGGUAACGGCUUACCAAGGCAACGAUGCGAAGCCGACUUGAGAGGGGGAUCGGCCACACUGGAACUGAGACACGCCCCAGACUCCUACGGGAGGCAGCAGUAGGGAAUCUUCCGCAAUGGGCGAAAGCUUGACGGAGCAACGCCGCGGGAUUGAGGAAGUUCUUCGGAUCUAAAAACUCUGUUAUUAGGGAAGAACAAAUGGGUAAGUAACUAUGCACGUCUUGACGGUACCUAAUCAGAAAGCCACGGCUAACUACGUG